ACGGAAGGCAGCAGUGGGGAAUAUUGCACAAUGGGCGAAAGCCUGAUGCAGCGACGCCGCGUGAGCGAAGAAGUAUUUCGGUAUGUAAAGCUCUAUCAGCAGGGAAGAUAAUGACGGUACCUGACUAAGAAGCACCGGCUAAAUACGUGCCAGCAGCCGCGGUAAUACGUAUGGUGCAAGCGUUAUCCGGAUUUACUGGGCGUAAAGGGAGCGUAGGCGGUUUUACAAGUCUGAUGUGAAAGCCCGGGGCUCAACUCCGGUAUUGCAUUGGAAACUGUAGAACUAGAGUGUCGGAGGGGUAAGUGGAAUUCCUAGUGUAGCGGUGAAAUGCGUAGAUAUUAGGAGGAACACCAGUGGCGAAGGCGGCUUACUGGACGAUUACUGACGCUGAGGCUCGAAAGCGUGGGGAGCAAACAGGAUUAGAUACCCUGGUA
Molecule: ribosomal RNA, 434 nt
Filed under: uncultured Pseudobutyrivibrio sp.
Lineage: Bacteria; Bacillati; Bacillota; Clostridia; Lachnospirales; Lachnospiraceae
Description: partial 16S ribosomal RNA
Rfam family: Bacterial small subunit ribosomal RNA
Source: RNAcentral